RNAcentral lists this ribosomal RNA (661 nucleotides) under uncultured Providencia sp. Its description in RNAcentral is "bacterial SSU rRNA". It matches the Rfam family "Bacterial small subunit ribosomal RNA", at positions 838 to 1502 of the family's 1533-position model. Lineage: Bacteria; Pseudomonadati; Pseudomonadota; Gammaproteobacteria; Enterobacterales; Morganellaceae. The record is from RNAcentral.
AGUGGCUUCCGGAGCUAACGCGUUAAAUCGACGCUGGGGAGUACGGCCGCAAGGUUAAAACUCAAAUGAAUUGACGGGGGCCCGCACAGCGGUGGAGCAUGUGGUUUAAUUCGAUGCAACGCGAAGAACCUUACCUACUCUUGACAUCCAGAGAAUUUAGCAGAGAUGCUUUAGUGCCUUCGGGAACUCUGAGACAGGUGCUGCAUGGCUGUCGUCAGCUCGUGUUGUGAAAUGUUGGGUUAAGUCCCGCAACGAGCGCAACCCUUAUCCUUUGUUGCCAGCGAUUCGGUCGGGAACUCAAAGGAGACUGCCGGUGAUAAACCGGAGGAAGGUGGGGAUGACGUCAAGUCAUCAUGGCCCUUACGAGUAGGGCUACACACGUGCUACAAUGGCGUAUACAAAGAGAAGCGACCUCGCGAGAGCAAGCGGAACUCAUAAAGUACGUCGUAGUCCGGAUUGGAGUCUGCAACUCGACUCCAUGAAGUCGGAAUCGCUAGUAAUCGUAGAUCAGAAUGCUACGGUGAAUACGUUCCCGGGCCUUGUACACACCGCCCGUCACACCAUGGGAGUGGGUUGCAAAAGAAGUAGGUAGCUUAACCUUCGGGAGGGCGCUUACCACUUUGUGAUUCAUGACUGGGGUGAAGUCGUAACAAGGUAACCA